This 27-nucleotide non-coding RNA is filed under the name Mus musculus (house mouse). The record is from RNAcentral. Lineage: Eukaryota; Metazoa; Chordata; Mammalia; Rodentia; Muridae.
UGGUUUCUCCUACUCAGCAGUUUUUGU